Molecule: ribosomal RNA, 435 nt
Filed under: uncultured prokaryote
Description: partial 16S ribosomal RNA
Source: RNAcentral
CCCUACGGGGUGCACCAGGGAGCCCAAAAAUCCAUGAUGACGGGUGUCUGCAUGGAAAAUUGGCUUACCUCGUAUUCACAGGUCUCGUUGUUUACAUCGAUGAUAUUGUCUGGUGUCAUGUGGCUCACCCGGUCUAAUUCUAUCAGUUUCCCGGCCGCGGGAGGGGGUUACUCCUCCCCAUCACCAUCCGUCACAGUCGGUUGAUGGAUUUGAACGACGUCGCCAUGAAAAUCCACCACGGCUUUAAAACCCAUCAUGUUCAGGUAUGCGCGGGCCUCCUGGGGAAUCCCGGUUGUUUGAAGCGUCUGGAACUUUUUUUCGGUGUUUUCCAUCUGGCUGCGGAUGACCGCGAUGGAGAAGAUGUCAUCCUGCCCCAUCAUAUGGGCUGCCUGUUCGCUCAAAACAUCUUCCAUGCCCUUAAUCGGGCGGGAGGGC